Non-coding RNA from Chaetomium globosum CBS 148.51, 93 nucleotides. NCBI's taxonomy places the organism in Eukaryota, Fungi, Ascomycota, Sordariomycetes, Sordariales, Chaetomiaceae. The record is from the annotation of a RefSeq genome assembly.
GCCCGGUUAGCUCAGCUGGUUAGAGCGUCGUACUAAUAUAGCCUGCUAUAUCAAGUGAUGCGAAGGUCAACAGUUCAAUCCUGUUACUGGGCA